GAAAAAUAUAGCUAUACAAAAUUAAUACCUAAUAAUCUGAGAUUCCUACAAUCAUGGGUUCCAACAAGAAAUGUUGUAGUGAGUCAAUAGGCCAUUAGAGUUGCUGAACUAGAAGAAUAGAUCAAGAAUCUCUAAGGAGAAACAUAGUAGAAAGUUUGUGGUGUUUUAGUGUGGAGAACUCUGUUAAAAAUUUCAUGCAAGGAAGCUCAGAACUAAAAAGGAUUUGAGUCCUAGCAGUGUCAAAUUAUGAAGGUAAGCCAGCAAGAAACUCAUGACUGCCAUUUGUUCACAUUGGGAUUGUUGAA
RNAcentral lists this unclassified non-coding RNA (305 nucleotides) under Hevea brasiliensis (rubber tree). Lineage: Eukaryota; Viridiplantae; Streptophyta; Magnoliopsida; Malpighiales; Euphorbiaceae. The record is from RNAcentral.